UUGAACGCUGGCGGCAUGCCUUACACAUGCCAGUCGAACGGUAACGGGCCUUCGGGUGCCGACGAGUGGCGAACGGGUGAGUAAUACAUCGGAACGUGCCCGAUCGUGGGGGAUAACGAGGCGAAAGCUUUGCUAAUACCGCAUACGAUCUACGGAUGAAAGCAGGGGACCGCAAGGCCUUGCGCGGACGGAGCGGCCGAUGGCAGAUUAGGUAGUUGGUGGGAUAAAAGCUUACCAAGCCGACGAUCUGUAGCUGGUCUGAGAGGAUGAUCAGCCACACUGGGACUGAGGCACGGCCCAGACUCCUACGGGAGGCAGCAGUGGGGAAUUUUGGACAAUGGGCGCAAGCCUGAUCCAGCCAUGCCGCGUGCAGGAUGAAGGCCUUCGGGUUGUAAACUGCUUUUGUACGGAACGAAAAGCCUUCUUUUAAUACAGGAGGGUCAUGACGGUACCGUAAGAAUAAGCACCGGCUAACUACGUG
RNAcentral lists this ribosomal RNA (481 nucleotides) under uncultured bacterium. RNAcentral's name for it is "partial 16S ribosomal RNA". It matches the Rfam family "Bacterial small subunit ribosomal RNA", at positions 30 to 507 of the family's 1533-position model. The record is from RNAcentral.